CCUACGGGUGGCAGCAGUGAGGAAUAUUGGUCAAUGGCCGUAAGGCUGAACCAUCCCCGCCGCUCGCCUUCCUCCUUCUCUCUUUUUUUUCCCCUUCUUUUCUCUUUGACUACAGGUAUCCACGUGUGGAUAUUUGCAUGUACCCUAUGAAUAAGCAUCGGCUAACUCCGUGCCAGCAGCCGCGGUAAUACGGAGGAUGCGAGCGUUAUCCGGAUUUAUUGGGUUUAAAGGGUGCGUAGGUUGUUUUUUAAGUCAGCGGUGAAAGUUUGUGGCUCAACCAUAAAAUUGCCGUUGAAACUGGAAGACUUGAGUGUGUUUGAGGUAGGCGGAAUGCGUGGUGUAGCGGUGAAAUGCAUAGAUAUCACGCAGAACUCCGAUUGCGAAGGCAGCUUACUAAGCCAUAACUGACACUGAAGCACGAAAGCGUGGGGAUCAAACAGGAUUAGAUAACACGGUAGUC
This 460-nucleotide ribosomal RNA is filed under the name uncultured bacterium. RNAcentral describes it as "partial 16S ribosomal RNA". It matches the Rfam family "Bacterial small subunit ribosomal RNA", at positions 338 to 795 of the family's 1533-position model. The record is from RNAcentral.